GGAUCUAGUGGCGCACGGGUGCGUAACGCGUGGGAAUCUGCCCUUGGGUUCGGAAUAACAUCUGGAAACGGAUGCUAAUACCGGAUGAUGACGUAAGUCCAAAGAUUUAUCGCCCAAGGAUGAGCCCGCGUACGAUUAGCUAGUUGGUGAGGUAAAGGCUCACCAAGGCUACGAUCCUUAGCUGGUCUGAGAGGAUGAUCAGCCACACUGGGACUGAGACACGGCCCAGACUCCUGCGGGAGGCAGCAGUAGGGAAUAUUGGACAAUGGGGGCAACCCUGAUCCAGCAAUGCCGCGUGAGUGAUGAAGGCCUUAGGGUUGUAAAGCUCUUUUACCCGAGAUGAUAAUGACAGUAUCGGGAGAAUAAGCUCCGGCUAACUCCGUGCCAGCAGCCGCGGUAAUACGGAGGGAGCUAGCGUUGUUCGGAAUUACUGGGCGUAAAGCGCACGUAGGCGGUUAUUUAAGUCAGAGGUGGAAGCCCGGGGCUCAACCCCGGAACUGCCUUUGAGACUGGAUAACUUGAAUCCAGGAGAGGUGAGUGGAAUUCCNGAGUGUAGAGGUGAAAUUCGUAGAUAUUCGGAAGAACACCAGUGGCGAAGGCGGCUCACUGGACUGGUAUUGACG
Molecule: ribosomal RNA, 623 nt
Filed under: uncultured Alphaproteobacteria bacterium
Lineage: Bacteria; Pseudomonadati; Pseudomonadota; Alphaproteobacteria
Description: bacterial SSU rRNA
Rfam family: Bacterial small subunit ribosomal RNA
Source: RNAcentral